CUGAAGAGUCCAAACUGUCAGCUGGAGAUUCUGAGGUUGUCUGGCUGUAUGGUGACAGAGGAGGGAUGUUGUUAUGUGUCUUCAGCUCUGACUUCAAACCCCUCACACUUGAGAGAGCUGGAUCUAAGCUAUAAUCACCCGGGAGAUUCAGGAGUCAAGCUGCUCUCUAAAAAACUGGCGGAUCCAAACUGCUCACUGGACAAAUUCAAUGUGGAUCAUGGAGGAGAAUCCAGGAUUACAGCAGGACUACAGAAAUGUAUGUCUAAACACACACAUACACACACACUCUCUCUCUCUCGCUCUCUC
Sinocyclocheilus anshuiensis is the source of this 306-nucleotide long non-coding RNA. RefSeq lists it as uncharacterized. The record is from RefSeq and is a predicted model, not a curated record. The transcript is spliced from 3 exons. Lineage: Eukaryota; Metazoa; Chordata; Actinopteri; Cypriniformes; Cyprinidae.